This is a long non-coding RNA of Mustela erminea (ermine), 1660 nucleotides long. RefSeq lists it as uncharacterized. The record is from RefSeq and is a predicted model, not a curated record. Lineage: Eukaryota; Metazoa; Chordata; Mammalia; Carnivora; Mustelidae. The transcript has 3 exons.
UCAGAAACCUGGUCCCCCGCUUAGCGCCAAAGGCUCUCCAGACUCACACAGGCCGAACAGCAAUCCACCACCUCCCUCCGAAGGCCGGCUCGUCAGUGCUGACCGUUCGCCUUCUGCUCUCCGGUGUCAGAACCUAACCAUCGGCUUUGGUCACCUCUCUCCUUCUCCGCCUGCCUCCACACCGGGCUCUCGGCGUGUCCUCCGGAAGGCACGUGUACAACGGGAAAUGGCGGUGCCCCUGCAGGACCGCACAGUGACGGGAAGAGCACCAUGGUCCAGAGGUCAUGGUUUUGUCAUCUCAUGGAGGGUGCAGCCAGGACACGGACUGUGACAGGUCAGGGGUCAUGUUAUCACUUGUAUAACGAAAUAAGCUCUUAGUUUUGGAAAACUCAUGGUCUACCUUUUAUGGUGCCUCCCCCGGCCUGCAGUUAUCACCCAGUUGGGCGAGGUCCGGAGAGAUCCUGGUAGCCCCAGGUCCCAGAGAUGAUGUCCUACCAAUGAUGUGUCCUAAAGGAAGGCAUCGGUGUCAUCAUUCGAAAAAGAAGGAGCGGAGACCAGAGGAAGAGCGCGUGGGUUCUGGAUGUGCCUGGUUUCCGGGGCAAAGGCUCAGAGAAAAAGGAUCCUUUCUCCGAUUCUGCCUGUUUCCAUCUCCUGCUGCUGAUGGGAGGCCGGGGGGCCCCUCGUGUCCCAGAGGAAAGUUGCUCUGCCCCCAGAGCUGUGACGGCGGGAAGAGAAGGACCCGCUUCCUCCCUGCAUUCCAGCCGGUGACAAUGGCGAACCCACUCUGAGAGGGACGGCUGUUGUGUCCAGCACAAGCCAGAAAGCCUAGUAUCUCGCGCUAUUUGCAAGCCUGCCUCUCGGACACAUCUGGCCGGCUGUUUGUCUUUGUUAGAAGGACCGACUGGUCACUUUGCCAGGGGACUCUCUACCACCCUCUGCCACCAGCAUCUGCACAGAACAGAAGGCUUUGGAGGCUCGGAUGACAAAACAGUGCCUCCGAAGGGACCGAGAAAGAUAGUAGUGUUUCUGUGCGAAGCAACAGAAUGUGUAAGAGAAAGCGCCAACUGAGCCACACCAAUGAGCCAUUGUGAGGUCCUGCUUGAGCAGAAGAGGGAUCUGAGGCCACUAACAAGGGUGGGGGGGGACGCGACACGGCUUCGAGUCCGAGUGCCACCCCCAUCUGCCCCACAGAACACAGCGCCAUUCUGCGGCCUCUGUUGCCUCUUGUGUGCCAGGCCCCGAAUGGGGGCUUCACCGCGUUGUUUACCUUGUUUACGAUUUGUCUCUUUUCUCCUGUGGGAAGCCGUGAGGCACAGGCGUAUGUCUAAUGUACCCACCCCUGUAUACCCUGGGUUUGCCGCCCGGCAGACGCUAAACCAAGAGCCGAAGGAAGGAAGACAGAGAGGAGGAAAGGAGGAGAGAGGGAGGCAGGGAGAGGGAGGGAGGAAUGUGCACCCUUAUCCGGUGACACUGCCUGCACCUCCCGCACCUGACCGGCUGCCAGGCGAAGGACCGGCCGCACGACCGUGCCCACCGCCGCUGCUCGAGGCCUGCCCGGCAGCGAGCGGGGCCAUCAGUAAACGUCUGUUGAGUGGGGUGUGGUCUUCAGCGCUUACUGGAUUAGCAGGAGAUUAGAUUUGAUACUGUAGCAAAAAAAAAA